UUAAGCAUAUCAAUAAGCGAGGAAAAGAANCCAACAGGGAUUGCCUCAGUAACUUGCGAGUAAGCGGCAAGAGCUCAAAUUUGAAAUCUGGCGCCUUUGGCGUCCGAGUUGUAAUUUGAAUARGCRUSGKUCGGGUGGGGGSGCCGSCYUAAGUUCCUUGGAACAGGACGUCAUAGAGGGUGAGAAUCCCGUUCUCGGCCGGCUGUCCCUGCUCAUGUGAAGUGUCUUCSACGAGUCGAGUUGUUUGGGAAUGCAGCUCAAAAUGGGUGGUAAACUCCAUCUAAAGCUAAAUAUUGGCGAGAGACCGAUAGCGCACAAGUAGAGUGAUCGAAAGAUGAAAAGCACUUUGAAAAGAGAGUUAAACAGUACGUGAAAUUGUUGAAAGGGAAGCGCUUGAGACCAGACUCAGCGGGAGGUGAUCAGCGUCGGUUCUCCGGCGUGCACUUGCCUCUCGCUGGGCCAGCAUCGGUUGCGGCGGUGGGAUAAAGACUUGGGGAAUGUGGCCCGCUUCGGUGGGUGUUAUAGCCCCGGGUGUCAUGCCGCCUGCUGCGACCGAGGACCGCGCUCUGCUUAGCUAGGAUGCUGGCGUAAUGGUCUUCAACCACCCNUCUUGAAACACCGACCAAGGAGUCUAACAUCUAUGCGAGUGUUCGGGUGGAAAACCCUUGCGCGUAAUGAAAGUGAACGGAGGUGUGAAGCCGCACGGCCGCAACAUCGACCGAUCCUGAUGUCUUCGGAUGGAUUUAAGUAGGAGCAUAGCUGUUGGGACCCGAAAGAUGGUGAACUAUGCCUGAAUAGGGUGAAGCCAGAGGAAACUCUGGUGGAGGCUCGCAGCGGUUCUGACGUGCAAAUCGAUCGUCAAAUUUGGGUAUAGGGGCGAAAGACUAAUCGAACCAUCUAGUAGCUGGUUCCUGCCGAAGUUUCCCU
RNAcentral lists this ribosomal RNA (927 nucleotides) under Chorioactis geaster. Its description in RNAcentral is "eukaryotic LSU rRNA". It matches the Rfam family "Eukaryotic large subunit ribosomal RNA", at positions 34 to 973 of the family's 3401-position model. The record is from RNAcentral. Lineage: Eukaryota; Fungi; Ascomycota; Pezizomycetes; Pezizales; Chorioactidaceae.